Molecule: ribosomal RNA, 372 nt
Filed under: uncultured bacterium
Lineage: Bacteria
Description: bacterial SSU rRNA
Rfam family: Bacterial small subunit ribosomal RNA
Source: RNAcentral
GGGCCCGCACAAGCGGUGGAGCAUGUGGUUUAAUUCGAUGAUACGCGAGGAACCUUACCAGGGCUUAAAUGUAGUAUGACCGGUCUGGAAACAGACCUUCCCUUCGGGGCAGAUUACAAGGUGCUGCAUGGUUGUCGUCAGCUCGUGCCGUGAGGUGUUAGGUUAAGUCCUGCAACGAGCGCAACCCCUAUUCUUAGUUGCCAGCGGUUCGGCCGGGGACUCUAAGAAGACUGCCAGCGCAAGCUGAGAGGAAGUGGGGAUGACGUCAAAUCAUCACGGCCCUUACGUCCUGGGGCUACACACGUGCUACAAUGGUAGAGACAGAGGGCAGCCACCUGGCGACAGGGAGCGAAUCCUUAAACUCUAUCUCAG